CCUACGGGAGGCUGCAGUGGGGAAUAUUGGACAAUGGGCGAAAGCCUGAUCCAGCCAUGCCGCGUGUGUGAAGAAGGCCUUCGGGUUGUAAAGCACUUUCAGUGGGGAAGAAAGCCUUGGGGCUAAUACCCUCGAGGAAGGACAUCACCCACAGAAGAAGCACCGGCUAACUCCGUGCCAGCAGCCGCGGUAAUACGGAGGGUGCGAGCGUUAAUCGGAAUUACUGAGCGUAAAGCGCGCGUAGGCGGUCUGAUAAGCCGGUUGUGAAAGCCCCGGGCUCAACCUGGGAACGGCAUCCGGAACUGUCAGGCUAGAGUGCAGGAGAGGAAGGUAGAAUUCCCGGUGUAGCGGUGAAAUGCGUAGAGAUCGGGAGGAAUACCAGUGGCGAAGGCGGCCUUCUGGACUGACACUGACGCUGAGGUGCGAAAGCGUGGGUAGCAAACAGGAUUAGAUACCCGAGUAGUC
Molecule: ribosomal RNA, 465 nt
Filed under: Vreelandella stevensii
Lineage: Bacteria; Pseudomonadati; Pseudomonadota; Gammaproteobacteria; Oceanospirillales; Halomonadaceae
Description: partial 16S ribosomal RNA
Rfam family: Bacterial small subunit ribosomal RNA
Source: RNAcentral